RNAcentral lists this ribosomal RNA (117 nucleotides) under Sinocyclocheilus rhinocerous. Lineage: Eukaryota; Metazoa; Chordata; Actinopteri; Cypriniformes; Cyprinidae. The record is from RNAcentral.
UGCCACAGCCAUAUUACCCUGCAGCCCAAGACUGGUUGCCCACUGAAGCUAAGCAGGGUUGAGCCUGGUUAGUACCUGGAUGGGAGACCUCCUGGGAAAACUAGGUUGCGGCUGGAA